GAUGAACGCUGGCGGCGUGCCUAAUACAUGCAAGUCGAGCGAACAGACGAGGAGCUUGCUCCUCUGACGUUAGCGGCGGACGGGUGAGUAACACGUGGAUAACCUACCCAUAAGACUGGGAUAACUUCGGGAAACCGGAGCUAAUACCGGAUAAUAUAUUGAACCGCAUGGUUCAAUAGUGAAAGACGGUUUUGCUGUCACUUAUAGAUGGAUCCGCGCCGCAUUAGCUAGUUGGUAAGGUAACGGCUUACCAAGGCAACGAUGCGUAGCCGACCUGAGAGGGUGAUCGGCCACACUGGAACUGAGACACGGUCCAGACUCCUACGGGAGGCAGCAGUAGGGAAUCUUCCGCAAUGGGCGAAAGCUUGACGGAGCAACGCCGCGUGAGUGAUGAAGGUCUUCGGAUCGGAAAACUCUGUUAUUAGGGAAGAACAAAUGUGUAAGUAACUAUGCACGUCUUGACGGUACCUAAUCAGAAAGCCACGGCUAACUACGUGC
RNAcentral lists this ribosomal RNA (498 nucleotides) under uncultured bacterium. Its description in RNAcentral is "partial 16S ribosomal RNA". It matches the Rfam family "Bacterial small subunit ribosomal RNA", at positions 28 to 508 of the family's 1533-position model. The record is from RNAcentral.